RNAcentral lists this ribosomal RNA (551 nucleotides) under uncultured Glomeromycotina. Its description in RNAcentral is "SSU rRNA". It matches the Rfam family "Eukaryotic small subunit ribosomal RNA", at positions 548 to 1098 of the family's 1831-position model. Lineage: Eukaryota; Fungi; Glomeromycota. The record is from RNAcentral.
UUGGAGGGCAAGUCUGGUGCCAGCAGCCGCGGUAAUUCCAGCUCCAAUAGCGUAUAUUAAAGUUGUUGCAGUUAAAAAGCUCGUAGUUGAAUUUCGGGAUCAAUACGUCGGUCGUGCUUUUUUGGUACGCACUGGCGUCAUUGGUUUCUCCUUUCUGACGAACCAUGAUGUCAUUAAUUUGGUGUUAUGGGGAGUUAGGACUGUUACUUUGAAAAAAUUAGAGUGUUUAAAGCAGGCAUUAGCUUGAAUACAUUAGCAUGGAAUAAUGAAAUAGGACGUUCGAUCCUAUUUUGUUGGUUUCUAGGAUCGACGUAAUGAUUAAUAGGGAUAGUUGGGGGCAUUAGUAUUCAAUUGUCAGAGGUGAAAUUCUUGGAUUUAUUGAAGACUAACUACUGCGAAAGCAUUUGCCAAGGAUGUUUUCAUUAAUCAAGAACGAAAGUUAGGGGAUCGAAGACGAUCAGAUACCGUCGUAGUCUUAACCAUAAACUAUGCCGACUAGGGAUCGGAUGAUGUUAAUUUUUUAAUGACUCAUUCGGCGCCUUACGGGAAAC